Molecule: non-coding RNA, 30 nt
Filed under: Rattus norvegicus (Norway rat)
Lineage: Eukaryota; Metazoa; Chordata; Mammalia; Rodentia; Muridae
Source: RNAcentral
UACCAGCCGCGAUUUCUGUCUUGUUGAGUA